Molecule: ribosomal RNA, 280 nt
Filed under: Haemophilus parainfluenzae ATCC 33392
Lineage: Bacteria; Pseudomonadati; Pseudomonadota; Gammaproteobacteria; Pasteurellales; Pasteurellaceae
Description: partial 16S ribosomal RNA
Rfam family: Bacterial small subunit ribosomal RNA
Source: RNAcentral
UAUGGUGUGUGCCAGCAGCCGCGGUAAUACGGAGGGUGCGAGCGUUAAUCGGAAUAACUGGGCGUAAAGGGCACGCAGGCGGUGACUUAAGUGAGGUGUGAAAGCCCCGGGCUUAACCUGGGAAUUGCAUUUCAUACUGGGUCGCUAGAGUACUUUAGGGAGGGGUAGAAUUCCACGUGUAGCGGUGAAAUGCGUAGAGAUGUGGAGGAAUACCGAAGGCGAAGGCAGCCCCUUGGGAAUGUACUGACGCUCAUGUGCGAAAGCGUGGGGAGCAAACAGG